Molecule: long non-coding RNA, 757 nt
Filed under: Diabrotica virgifera virgifera (western corn rootworm)
Lineage: Eukaryota; Metazoa; Arthropoda; Insecta; Coleoptera; Chrysomelidae
Description: uncharacterized LOC126881823
Source: RNAcentral
AAUGACAAAUGAAUGUACUGAUUAGUAUACUAAUUAUACAAUUUGGAUUUUUUAAUAAAGUAUAAACAUGAUAUAAUACAUCGACAAAGUGAAAGACAGACAAAGUGAAAUAGGGGUAAUAUUCGUUUAAAAUUUUUAUAAACGCCAGUCUAGUCACACACGUGAACACCGAUGUAAACACCGAUUGACAUAAUCGCCAGUGCCCGUAAGAUUAUCAUUGUGUACAGUUCGGUCCAGUAAUAAUAGUAAAGAUGAAUAGCAGAAGUAAAAAAAUAAUGGCCUUAAUAAAUGACAAUAAAACAUAUACCGAAGCAGUAAAAAUGAUAUACAGACUGACAAUAAUUCCCCUAUAUUCCUCUUAGAGGUUUAUGAUAUUUAUAAUGCCAACAUUGCAGAAGAUUUUAGCAAUGACAUUAUCAUCUUUGAGGAACCACCAGACGUUGCAGUAGAAGAAGAAAUAUUUAGUCACGAUCUCACAUCAUGUUUCAACUUAGCAGCAGAUAAUGGUUUGGGUGCCGGUAUAAGUAGUGAUCAAAAUAAGGAAAAUACAAGCAAUCAAAUCAAUAAUGAUGUUGAACCAAAUAUUGACUGUGAUUAUGAAUUAGAAUCCGCUAUUAUUAGAUAUCCGCUCCUAUUUGCGAAUUAUUUACUUUUAAGUAUUUCAUCCUAGCAUCAAAAACAUGUUUAAAGAAUUUAGGGUAUUGUUUUUAACUUAGAAUGUAUUUUUGGUUUAAAAAAAUAAAGCCUAUCAAAAAUC